AUGAGUCAUGCCCUGCACCCUGGAGCCCAGAGGACCCUUCGCUCAAACCCACCACCAGCUGGCAACACCGGAGCAGCCAGAGCCACUUCCUUCACUGCCCAGAGGAGCCUGGGAGAAGCCAGAGGUGCUCGAGGAUGGAUUCCAAGCUCCCGGUGCACUGCCACUCCAUGCCACCCAUCUCCUAGUUUUCUGUCUUCUCCUGGUGGCAUCAGGCCUUGCUUCAUGUCCCACCCAGAGCUUCUGGGGCUAGCACAGUCCUGGCUGUCUACAACCUGGGUCUGGUGGAUCUCUCAGAGUACAUCUGGGAGGUCAUGGCCACCCUGCUCCUGGCCAACUGCAGCUACUUCUGCCAGCCAGCGGACUACAGCUGGAGCGAGUGUGGAAUGAGGGUAUGGCAGGGAGCAGGAGGUAAGCCUGUAGAGGGUUAGGAGGGAGAACUUCAUAACAAUCUGAGGUCAAGGAGGUGUCACCCGAGCCUUUUGAUGAGAGGCAGGGGACUGGCUGGUUAUGUGCAGGCUUUGGAGUCAGAUGACCUCGGACCUCAGUUUGGAUCUCAGCUCUGCCAUUUCCUUGCUGUGUGAUUAUGGGUGGUACACCUAACUUUUCUGGGACUCGAUUCUCUUACCUACAAAAUUGAGAUGAUAAUACAUAUUUUCUAAAGGGAAAUGAUUGAAAGAAGAUGGAAUCAGAUAGUAUAUGAUAGAUAAUAUAUGAAAGUGUUUAGCACAGGGCAGCACACAUUGAGUGGUAGCUAAGUGGUAGUGACUUCAUCACUGUUAGCUGUUCUCUGUUUCCACUGGAAGCAGAAAAAAAAAACCUUCCUUGUAACAAAAGACUCUAGCUGAGGCUUGUCACCAGGUAACUGAGGCUUGUCACCAGGUGAUAUGGAUGUUGAGUCACUGGAUGUUGGUGAUGGGCUCAAGUCCUGUGACUCAAAGUAUGAUCCUGGGGCUGGCAGCAUCAGCAUCAUCUGGGAGCUUGUUGGAAAUGCAGAAUCUCAUGUUCCACCCCAUGUACACUGAUUAAGAAUCUGCUUUUCAAUGAACAAAAUGCUCACGUGCUCAUUAGAUUGCAAGGUUCUGGACUGGGGCACAUUGGGAGAGUCCUUCUGUGGUCACUCCAGUAGCUUCUCCCCUUCUUUCCUGUGCUAACAGGCAUCUGCCUGCAGACAGGUAGGCACUGUGUAAUCAGUGGUGCAUAGAACAGUGAGGAUUCGAGGCUGAACCCAGACCGGGGGGACGAGCUGUGGCACCAGUAGGACUGCAGUCUGAUGAACUUCCCCUUUCUUCCCAGCAGAUGGCGAGCGUGGGCUGCUGGUGCCUCUUUCUGAAGGCUGUUGAUUGCAUGACAGGUGAGAUCUGGGACCCACGGGCUCCUGUAUAUCUGUCAGCCAAAUCUGGGGUGGUGUCUGACUCACGCAGCAAGAAUGCUCUCUGGAUUUGCCCCGGCGGCUGUGCCAGAGACUAAUUUCAGAGUAAAGCCUUGGUCCAGUACCUGGCGGGGGGAAGGAUGCUCAGCCACUGAGGUAGCGUCCCCCUCUGCUGGCUCCCGUGGUCCCUGCUCCCUAUCCACAGAAGCAGGAGUAGGCAUUUGCCCCCUUAGUAUCCAGGUUCCAGCUAAGAUUAAAAUAGAAAGUUAAACAAAUUUUAAAACUAAUAUGUUAUAGUAAGGGUCAUCAGAGAGCAAAAGCUUCCAUGUUACUGAGAAGAGACCUUGCUGGUGAGGCCAGGGGUCUUGUGGAAUUAAGCAGGGUGAGACAAGAACAUAAUGUUGGUGUGGUUGGUGAUGAAGAGAGGGGCUCUUUCUUCUCAGUCUCUUGCCAAAAUGCUCUGAGCAGAGAACACGUGGGAAUGUGUUGUGUGGGUG
Molecule: long non-coding RNA, 1866 nt
Organism: Aotus nancymaae (Ma's night monkey)
Lineage: Eukaryota; Metazoa; Chordata; Mammalia; Primates; Aotidae
Source: Ensembl